CAUGCAAGUCGAACGGUAACAGGCAUUAGUGAUCCCUUCGGGGUGAUCUUGGCGCUGACGAGUGGCGAACGGGUGAGUAAUGCUUGGGAAUCUGCCCUGUAGUGGGGGACAACCCGAGGAAACUCGGGCUAAUACCGCGUAAGCUCCACGGAGGAAAGCGGGGGAUCUUAGGACCUCGCGCUAUAGGAUGAGCCCAAGUCGGAUUAGCUUGUUGGUGGGGUAAUGGCCUACCAAGGCGACGAUCCGUAGCUGGUCUGAGAGGACGAUCAGCCACACUGGGACUGAGACACGGCCCAGACUCCUACGGGAGGCAGCAGUAGGGAAUAUUGGACAAUGGGCGCAAGCCUGAUCCAGCAAUGCCGCGUGUGUGAAGAAGGCCUGCGGGUUGUAAAGCACUUUCAGUGGGGAAGACAAACUCGAGGUUAAUACCCUCGGGUCUCGACGUUACCCACAGAAGAAGCACCGGCCAACUCCGUGCCAGCAGCCGCGGUAAUACGGAGGGUGCGAGCGUUAAUCGGAAUUACUGGGCGUAAAGCGCACGCAGGUGGCUGGGUCAGUCGGUUGUGAAAUCCCCGGGCUUAACCUGGGAAUUGCGAUCGAAACUGCCCGGCUAGAGUAUGGGAGAGGGAAGUGGAAUUCCCGGUGUAGCGGUGAAAUGCAUAGAUAUCGGGAGGAACACCAGUGGCGAAGGCGGCUUCCUGGCCCAAUACUGACA
RNAcentral lists this ribosomal RNA (715 nucleotides) under uncultured bacterium. RNAcentral describes it as "bacterial SSU rRNA". It matches the Rfam family "Bacterial small subunit ribosomal RNA", at positions 54 to 745 of the family's 1533-position model. The record is from RNAcentral.